RNAcentral lists this unclassified non-coding RNA (2322 nucleotides) under Leishmania donovani. RNAcentral describes it as "gene:LdHU3.13.1890(CDS-product:mitogen-activated_ protein_kinase_putative)". The record is from RNAcentral. Lineage: Eukaryota; Euglenozoa; Kinetoplastea; Trypanosomatida; Trypanosomatidae.
GAAAAUAAACAGGCAGCACAAAAGGAGGAGGAGAGCGCCGAUCCCUCAAGCUCAAGCAUGAUGUUCAACGAAGCAGCGGUCCCGUUCAUUCAGACGGCGCGCGACAACGGGCUGCUGUUUGGUGGCAGCAAUGUGCCAGCGAUGAUCGACUACACCAGUGAGCACAGAAAGAGCUAUCACGUGCGCGGCUCCGUCUUCGAGGUGGCGCCGCACUUUGAGGUGCUGAACGGGAUUGGGUAUGGCGCGUACGGUGUCGUAUGCGCUGCGGUAGACCUGCGUCUCGUCGCAUCCAGCGUCUACUACAACGAGGCGAUGCGCAUCAUCGAGGAAGGGGGUCGUAUAGUCACGCGGCAACGUCGCGGUCACGACGCGCCUGUGUACUUCCGCACGCGUGCUGUGCUGGACGAAGCCGGGCGAGGUGGGCCAGUGCGAGUUCCGCACUUGUACUCGGAACCGUUCAAGCGCCGUGUGCUGGCGUGCGGGGGGGUGUCUCCGUUCGUCGCAAUCAAGAAGGUGACGAAGGUGUUCGACGAUCUUGUGGAUGGGCGCCGCAUCCUGCGAGAGAUCAAGUUGCUGAGGUACCUGCAAGGGCAUCCGAACAUUGUGCGGUUGAUGGAAGUUGGGCGCCCCCACGUCCCCACCGGUGCCUCGUCGUCCGCCGCGUUCGAUGAUAUCUACCUAGUGACCGACCUCAUGGACACAGACCUAGCUGCCCUGCUGAAGUCAUCGCAGGAGAUCGAGAUGGACCAGUUCCGCUUUAUCGCCUAUCAGCUUAUGAAGGUGUUGGUGUACGUGCACAGCAGCGGCGUCAUCCACCGUGACCUGAAGCCGGGUAACAUCCUUCUUAACGGCAACUGCGACAUGAAGCUCUGCGACUUUGGCCUCUCCCGCGGCGGCGUUCCUGCUUGGCCGCAUGAGAGCACUCUAACGGCAGUCGCGACCGCAGCCGAGUCGAGUGCCAAAGAACUUGAGGAUUGGGGUCUAUUCUGCUGGUCAUCUUCCGCAGUCCGUGGGGCAUCAUCCGCCCCUCACGCCGCCAAGCAACCCCCGCUCUACAGCCUCACCGACUACGUUGUCACGCGCUACUACCGAGCCCCCGAGCUGCUCAUCAUGGGCCGCUACAACCACGCAAUCGACAUGUGGUCUGCCGGCUGCAUCCUGGCCGAGAUGCUGCUGCGCCGCCCUUUGUUCACCGGUGCCAACUACCUUUCCCAGCUGGCGUUGAUUCUGGAGACGCCGGGGCUGCGUGGCGUCCCGCAGACGCCGGAGCAGGUUGCCGCGCUCUUCGAGGGUGGCGAAGAGGGCAAGCACUUUAUCAACGACAUCCUUUUUCGCAAAACUGCACGAGGGCGGGAUUCGCUAACGCUGAGCAACCAGGUCCACUCGCAGGUCCUCUUCCACAGCACCCUCUUUGGCUUCAACGUGGACAUUCCUAUUAGUCUCGGCAUAUUGAUUGCCAAGCUGCUCUCCUUCGAUCCCCGAAAGCGGCCCACCGCCGUGGAGGCGCUGCGCGAUCCGUUUUUCCGGCCACUGUAUGACAGCAGAGAUGAAAUUCUUCGCUGCCCUGCAUCCGACCCAAGCGUUGCACGAGAGGAAAUCGAUGACAUCGCCGCCUACCAGAAAGCACACCCGUGCGUCGUGGUGGACGAGAGCCCUGUGUUCACGUGGGAGUUCGACCACCGCAUCACGAGUGCGCAGGCGUUGCGCAGCCUCUUCGAGGAGGAGUGCCAGAUCUCGCGCGACGUGCAGCAGCAGAUUGAAAGACAGCAGCGUCCACGUUGAUCUCCUGCAGUGUAGAAAUGUAGCGAAAGAACGACACUGGAGAGAGACCCGUUCUCUGGCGCUUCAGACGGCGGCAGCGGUGGUGAUGGUGCUCAUUGAAUUAUGGAAGCACACGCAAGCUACCCCCCCCCCCUUCUCCCUCUUAUUCCCACCUCCGCACACCCGCGCCUACCUAGCAGCUUGCCACCACUGCGGUGUGCGUUGUGUACCGCACUUCGUUUCAUAUAUUUUCGCGCGCUGAUCUUGCUUGCCUGCUCUUCAGUACACUGACCCCUCCACCACACACAAACACACAGACAUGUUCAAGCAGACCAUAUGAAAGCAAUACGCGCAGCGUUCUUUUUCCUCUGCCGUCGAACGAACCCAUAGCUUCAGCGUGACGGCUGGACCUGCUGUAGACGCUUUCUGUGUCCCCUCUUCAUCGCACCGCCACUGGCUCUGAGAAGAUCGCGGACAAUGAAGGGGGGGAUGCGAACUUGGAACAGUGUCGCGUGUGCGGUAGAGCUCUUGAAUAGUGCACAUCAUAGUGCAGUCGUCAAG